AAGUCAGCUGAUUGCAGUUCUGCUUUUCUUGUCUUCCCUUCGACUGUCAUUUUCUCUCCCCUGCUGUUCAAAUAGGCAGCAAUUAAUUGCUCUGCUGAAGAGUUUGCUGUACUAAGUGUCUGUCAAAUGGAUGCCUUCAACUCAAGAUAGCACCUGCUCCUUAGUUACAAAAAGUUCCUCACAGGAAAUUUUCAGGCGUGCCCAUAAAUCUCCUCGCUGCUUGUUUGGGAGAACAGGGUUUUCUCGUCUGUAACAGAAUAGUCGUGGCAUUUGCUAUGGAAUGCUGGUGGCAGUCUAGUCAGAAGAGGACCCCGUGCUUCACUAAUUUUCCCUUUUUGCUGUUGGGGGUGACUUCUUCCCAGGGAUGUUCUUCUUGACCCCCCGGGGCAAACGGAGGUGUCAGCGUCAGGAGCCAUCCUACCUGAGGCCCCGGCUCCCUCUUUCCCUUCGGUCGCCGUGGACACUGUGCCGGACACCUCUGGCAGGACUAACCCUGUGGCUUUUAUGUCCAACGUGCUGUGUGCCUGCAGCAUCCUGUCCAAGACCAAGCUACCUUUCUUUCCUCGUGGGAAUGGACCGGCCGGGCUUUGGCAAUCUGGCCCCUCGAAAGACUAAAGUGACCUCUUCCAGCAGGGGAAGACUGAAGCAAGGGGUGCCAGGAAGAACUGGAGUCUCUGGAGAAUAAAAGCUGGAAGCGUGCCCCCGAAAAUCCCCAGCCCCGGGUGGUCAGUGGUCUGACUUGCACGGACCGGUGGCCUUGGCCAGGAGCGGUCCUGUGGGAAGCGCCUUUGCCCAGGCUGUAAUUUUGAUUUUCUCUUGGAUGCUUGGCAAAGCCCCUCUGGGGGAGCCCCGGUGCCUGGCAGGAGCGGAGCGGGCUUGC
Long non-coding RNA from Pseudopipra pipra, 880 nucleotides. RefSeq lists it as uncharacterized. The transcript is spliced from 3 exons. NCBI's taxonomy places the organism in Eukaryota, Metazoa, Chordata, Aves, Passeriformes, Pipridae. The record is from RefSeq and is a predicted model, not a curated record.